Molecule: long non-coding RNA, 970 nt
Filed under: Apteryx owenii (little spotted kiwi)
Lineage: Eukaryota; Metazoa; Chordata; Aves; Apterygiformes; Apterygidae
Description: lncRNA (ENSAOWG00000004955.1)
Source: RNAcentral
AUGUCUCACACCAGGGCUUGCAAAGCACGCUCAGCUCUGCGGCAGGGGCUCGCUUUGCUUUUUUUCCUGAACAACCCAUCCCACCCUGCCAGGAGCCCUCUAAAAGUGCCGCCUGCUCCCGGUUGCGGCUGCUUCGGCAGGAAGCUGGCGAGGGCUAUUCCCGUCUCCGAGGGGAAAGGCCUCAAAGAGGAAUAUUCCAGAAGCAGCGCUCCCCAAGAACCGCCGUGUCACCGGAGGAAACGCUUACAAACGCCUCUUCCUCCAGCCUCCUCACCAGCGGCGCUCGAGCGCGCCCCAGCUUCCUGCCCUGCCUCCCCGAGCGCUCCCGCGUCCCCCCGCGGGCACCGGCCGGGCUCUGCCCGCAGCAGGGCUCGCUGGCCGCUUCCCUCCCGGCCGCCCCGAGCGAACGUCCCGCGGUGCAACCCACGCCUGCUGGGUUUAGGCUGGUGCUCCCGGGGCGGCGGAAGCGCGCGCGAGGGAGCCGCCGGCCCCGCCGCCGUGACGCCGCGCUCUCUGCGGGAGCGGAGGGACGGAGCCGCGCGCAGGGACGGCCGACGCCGGAAGCGUGAGCAAGCGAGACAUACGGAAAGUGCAUCGUCAGAGCAUCAAGCAGGAAUGGGCACUCGGGAGCAUCACCCACCUCUGCUCUUCCCAGCAAGGGAAUCACUGAGCUCUGCUCAGCAGCCUGGACAAGGAAGAUCAGUGCCUCAUCCUCCCCAGCAAAUGCUGACCUUUGCAUCCUCCGCGACUUUAUCCCAUUCUCUGAAAGAAGCAUGCAUCAUCAAUCUGCCCAAAUGGGCAGAAAGAUGGCAGCCUCGAUCUCCGCUAAGUACCAGACGCGCGGCGGGAAUGCCAAGCGCAAUCCCCACACGUCCACCCCCUCGAUUCCUGGCUGCUCGGGAAAGGCUGUUCCUCUUCAGCUGACAAAUAGAUGAGACGUUUCAUUAAUAAACCUCGGCUUCUCCUAACA